Long non-coding RNA from Quercus robur (English oak), 462 nucleotides. RefSeq lists it as uncharacterized. Lineage: Eukaryota; Viridiplantae; Streptophyta; Magnoliopsida; Fagales; Fagaceae. The record is from RefSeq and is a predicted model, not a curated record. The transcript is spliced from 2 exons.
UUAAAUUAGUGUUGUUUUGAUCUUGACCCUUGAUUUAAUUUAAGGGAACCCUUGUUACUGGCAAAGCAGGCCAUGUAUUUAAACAAAGAAAAAAAAAACACUUCUCUUUCUACGCUUCAGAACUCUCUCUACGCUUCUAUCUGUACGCUUCUUCUCUCUCAACUUCUUUCUCUUCCAAUCCAGCUACAAGACCAGAGCCACCACUACUAAACAAAACCCUAAGCAAGACCCACAAUAUAAGAAACAUAGUAUUUUAAUUCCAGCCGCUCUCUGCUCCGACUACGGUAUUGACCUACACCAUUGAGGCCGUCAAAAAGUGGGGUUAGAUUAAGUUCUAUAAUUGCAGCUUGAUGGGAAGUAUGUCGUUUACUCUUACACUGGUGGAGUGAUGAAGAUUUUACCAUCGAAUGAUGAAGUACAUUGUUGUCUGUUGACCACCUAUUAAUGGGUGUUUUGAGGAAA